This 492-nucleotide ribosomal RNA is filed under the name uncultured bacterium. RNAcentral's name for it is "partial 16S ribosomal RNA". It matches the Rfam family "Bacterial small subunit ribosomal RNA", at positions 29 to 507 of the family's 1533-position model. The record is from RNAcentral.
AGUGAACGCUGGCGGUAGGCCUAACACAUGCAAGUCGAACGGCAGCACAGUAAGAGCUUGCUCUUACGGGUGGCGAGUGGCGGACGGGUGAGGAAUACAUCGGAAUCUACUUUUUCGUGGGGGAUAACGUAGGGAAACUUACGCUAAUACCGCAUACGACCUACGGGUGAAAGCAGGGGAUCUUCGGACCUUGUGCGAUUGAAUGAGCCGAUGUCGGGUUAGCUAGUUGGCGGGGUAAAGGCCCACCAAGGCGACGAUCCGUAGCUGGUCUGAGAGGAUGAUCAGCCACACUGGAACUGAGACACGGUCCAGACUCCUACGGGAGGCAGCAGUGGGGAAUAUUGGACAAUGGGCGCAAGCCUGAUCCAGCCAUACCGCGUGUGUGAAGAAGGCCUUCGGGUUGUAAAGCCCUUUUGUUGGGAAAGAAAAGCAGCAGGUUAAUACCCCGCUGUUCUGACGGUACCCAAAGAAUAAGCACCGGCUAACUUCGUG